CCCAAAUUUCACCCCAAAUUCCAAAUCCUUCACCCCAAAAUUCAUCCCAAAAUCCAAAUCAUUCACCCCAAAUUCCAGAUCCGUCACCCCAAACUCAAAAUCCUGCAUCCCAAAGCCCAAAUCCUUCACCCCAAAAUUCACCCCAAAAUUCAUCCUGAAUUCCAAAUCCUUCAUCCCAAAAUUCACCCCAAAAUCCAAAUCCUUCACCCCAAAUUCCAAAUCCUUCAUCCCAAAAUUCAUCCCAAAGCCCAAAACCUUCACCGCAAAAUUCAUCCGAAAUCCCAAACCCUUCACCCCAAAAUCCAAACCCUUCACCCCAAAAUUCAUCCCAAAAUCCAAAUCCUUCACCCCAAAUUCCAAAUCCUUCACCCCAAAAUUCACCCCAAAAUCCAAACCCUUCACCCCAAAUUCCAAAUCCCAAAAUCCAAACCCUUCACCCCAAAAUUCCACCACACCCAUCCCAUUUUUUCCCUUUAUUUUGGUGCUUCCCCACCCGGUUUUUAUAUUUUUUCCCCCACCCCGAUGUUUUGUGUUUUAUUUUAUAUUUUGUGUUUUAUUUUAUAUUUUUUAUCCCACUCCAAUGUUUUGUGUUUUAUUUUAUAUUUUGUGUUUUAUUUUAUUUUUUUUCCCCCCACCCUGACAUUUUGUGUUUUAUUUUAUAUUUUGUGGUUUAUUUUAUAUUUUGUGUUUUAUUUUAUAUUUUUCCCCCAACCCUGACAUUUUCUGUUUUAUUUUAGG
This 738-nucleotide long non-coding RNA is filed under the name Zonotrichia albicollis (white-throated sparrow). RNAcentral describes it as "lncRNA (ENSZALG00000008014.1)". The record is from RNAcentral. Lineage: Eukaryota; Metazoa; Chordata; Aves; Passeriformes; Passerellidae.